Molecule: ribosomal RNA, 809 nt
Filed under: uncultured bacterium
Lineage: Bacteria
Description: bacterial SSU rRNA
Rfam family: Bacterial small subunit ribosomal RNA
Source: RNAcentral
GAAUUCGCCCUUAGAGUUUGCUUCUGGCUCAGGACGAACGCUGGCGGCGCGCCUAACACAUGCAAGUCGAACGGAGCUUAGAGAGCUUGCUUUUUAAGCUUAGUGGCGAACGGGUGAGUAACGCGUGAGUAACCUGCCCUAGAGUGGGGGACAACAGUUGGAAACGACUGCUAAUACCGCAUAAGCCCACGGUACCGCAUGGUACUGAGGGAAAAGGAUUUAUUCGCUUUAGGAUGGACUCGCGUCCAAUUAGCUAGUUGGUGAGGUAACGGCCCACCAAGGCGACGAUUGGUAGCCGGACUGAGAGGUUGAACGGCCACAUUGGGACUGAGACACGGCCCAGACUCCUACGGGAGGCAGCAGUGGGGGAUAUUGCACAAUGGGGGAAACCCUGAUGCAGCGACGCCGCGUGGAGGAAGAAGGUUUUCGGAUUGUAAACUCCUGUCGUUAGGGACGAUAAUGACGGUACCUAACAAGAAAGCACCGGCUAACUACGUGCCAGCAGCCGCGGUAAAACGUAGGGUGCAAGCGUUGUCCGGAAUUACUGGGUGUAAAGGGAGCGCAGGCGGGAAGACAAGUUGGAAGUGAAAACCAUGGGCUCAACCCAUGAAUUGCUUUCAAAACUGUUUUUCUUGAGUAGUGCAGAGGUAGAUGGAAUUCCCGGUGUAGCGGUGGAAUGCGUAGAUAUCGGGAGGAACACCAGUGGCGAAGGCGGUCUACUGGGCACCAACUGACGCUGAGGCUCGAAAGCAUGGGUAGCAAACAGGAUUAGAUACCCUGGUAGUCCAUGCCGUAAACGAUGAUUACUA